Molecule: ribosomal RNA, 438 nt
Filed under: soil bacterium 13G-13
Lineage: Bacteria
Description: bacterial SSU rRNA
Rfam family: Bacterial small subunit ribosomal RNA
Source: RNAcentral
UCAGGAUGAACGCUGGCGGCGUGCUUAACACAUGCAAGUCGAACGAUGAUCCCAGCUUGCUGGGGGAUUAGUGGCGAACGGGUGAGUAACACGUGAGUAACCUGCCCUUGACUCUGGGAUAAGCCUGGGAAACUGGGUCUAAUACCGGAUACGACCAUCUGGCGCAUGUCAUGGUGGUGGAAAGCUUUUGUGGUUUUGGAUGGACUCGCGGCCUAUCAGCUUGUUGGUGGGGUAAUGGCCUACCAAGGCGACGACGGGUAGCCGGCCUGAGAGGGUGACCGGCCACACUGGGACUGAGACACGGCCCAGACUCCUACGGGAGGCAGCAGUGGGGAAUAUUGCACAAUGGGCGCAAGCCUGAUGCAGCGACGCCGCGUGAGGGAUGACGGCCUUCGGGUUGUAAACCUCUUUCAGUAGGGAAGAAGCGAAAGUGACGUA